Molecule: long non-coding RNA, 216 nt
Organism: Choloepus didactylus (southern two-toed sloth)
Lineage: Eukaryota; Metazoa; Chordata; Mammalia; Pilosa; Megalonychidae
Exons: 3
Source: RefSeq, a predicted model, not a curated record
UACAGGAGACGCGUUUCUGCUGGUGGUGAAGAAACUGAGGCCUGGCAGGUGAAAUGGCUUGACCAAUGCCAGAGAUAAAGGCCUCAUUGUGAGCUGAGCCGCAUCAAGACCAGGAAGAACAAGCCUGCCAGAGCUCAGCCCGCCUCACGGCUCCGCUCCCUACGCUGAACAGCUGCCAUUUGAAUGUCUUUCUUUAUAAAUUCCUUUCAUUUUCCC